This is a long non-coding RNA of Mercurialis annua (annual mercury), 602 nucleotides long. RefSeq lists it as uncharacterized. The record is from RefSeq and is a predicted model, not a curated record. The transcript is spliced from 3 exons. NCBI's taxonomy places the organism in Eukaryota, Viridiplantae, Streptophyta, Magnoliopsida, Malpighiales, Euphorbiaceae.
AAACUCAGAAUUAUACACUUAUCUCAGCUGAAAACCCUUGACCAUCUUCAACCUCAAGAACACCAUAUGCAACACAAUCUUACAAGUGCCAUAACUUCUUCGUUUUUGGUCUGAUUGAGGUGAUUCUUGCGGCCACGGAACGAGGGGAACGAGCUCUACACAUCUAUCCCUAUCAAUUGAGACUUGAAGAGGCGACUACCAAUGGAACCCGGAACUUACAAAACGCAAUAUCGCUUAGCUGUUAUCGAAGGAUAUGGAUAGCAAGCAUGUGUUUUUCAGGUACCUAGAUUCUGAACUUGGCUAGAAGUUCGUCUUUAACCGGAAGUUCCUUUGUCUAUGUAUAGCCCCGACUUCCGUAGAUGCUGCAGUAGUGUGAUGUCUGACCAGUGUAGCAGUGAAAUUUUAUAUGGUUUAUAGUUGCUGUCAGUUUGUAUAUAUUUGUUUGGCCACGAUAGUUAUGCUUUGUACCACGGAGGUAGAUUCCCGUGAUGUAACUUUGACACUAGUAGUAUAUGCCAGGUUAGUACGUACAAGGUACGGAAACGAUAGACCCGAGCAAGUUGUAAUGUUUUACCAGUGCAAAUAAAUGUGUCUUUGUUAAA